This 905-nucleotide ribosomal RNA is filed under the name Staphylococcus aureus. RNAcentral describes it as "partial 23S ribosomal RNA". It matches the Rfam family "Bacterial large subunit ribosomal RNA", at positions 1118 to 2024 of the family's 2925-position model. Lineage: Bacteria; Bacillati; Bacillota; Bacilli; Caryophanales; Staphylococcaceae. The record is from RNAcentral.
AUCAUUUAAAGAGUGCGUAAUAGCUCACUAGUCGAGUGACACUGCGCCGAAAAUGUACCGGGGCUAAACAUAUUACCGAAGCUGUGGAUUGUCCUUUGGACAAUGGUAGGAGAGCGUUCUAAGGGCGUUGAAGCAUGAUCGUAAGGACAUGUGGAGCGCUUAGAAGUGAGAAUGCCGGUGUGAGUAGCGAAAGACGGGUGAGAAUCCCGUCCACCGAUUGACUAAGGUUUCCAGAGGAAGGCUCGUCCGCUCUGGGUUAGUCGGGUCCUAAGCUGAGGCCGACAGGCGUAGGCGAUGGAUAACAGGUUGAUAUUCCUGUACCACCUAUAAUCGUUUUAAUCGAUGGGGGGACGCAGUAGGAUAGGCGAAGCGUGCGAUUGGAUUGCACGUCUAAGCAGUAAGGCUGAGUAUUAGGCAAAUCCGGUACUCGUUAAGGCUGAGCUGUGAUGGGGAGAAGACAUUGUGUCUUCGAGUCGUUGAUUUCACACUGCCGAGAAAAGCCUCUAGAUAGAAAAUAGGUGCCCGUACCGCAAACCGACACAGGUAGUCAAGAUGAGAAUUCUAAGGUGAGCGAGCGAACUCUCGUUAAGGAACUCGGCAAAAUGACCCCGUAACUUCGGGAGAAGGGGUGCUCUUUAGGGUUAACGCCCAGAAGAGCCGCAGUGAAUAGGCCCAAGCGACUGUUUAUCAAAAACACAGGUCUCUGCUAAACCGUAAGGUGAUGUAUAGGGGCUGACGCCUGCCCGGUGCUGGAAGGUUAAGAGGAGUGGUUAGCUUCUGCGAAGCUACGAAUCGAAGCCCCAGUAAACGGCGGCCGUAACUAUAACGGUCCUAAGGUAGCGAAAUUCCUUGUCGGGUAAGUUCCGACCCGCACGAAAGGCGUAACGAUUUGGGCACUGUCUCAA